CCUACGGGAGGCAGCAGUAGGGAAUUUUCGUCAAUGGGCGCAAGCCUGAACGAGCAAUGCCGCGUGAACGAGGAAGGUCUUCGGAUCGUAAAGCUCUGUCGACGGGGAAAAAGAGCGGAGAGACGAAAUGGUCUCCGAUUGAUAUUACCUUUCGAGGAAGCCCCGGCUAACUACGUGCCAGCAGCCGCGGUAAUACGUAGGUGGCGAGCGUUAUCCGGUAUGAUUGGGCGUAAAGGGUUCGUAGGCGGCCUGCAAAGUCUGGGGUAAACGGUAGCGGCUCAAGCGGUACAGGCACUGGAAACUGGCGAGCUGGAGAGCAGGAGAGGGCAGUGGAACUCCAUGUGUAGCGGUGAAAUGCGUAGAUAUAUGGAAGAACACCAGUGGCGAAGGCGGCCGCCUGGACUGUUACUGACGCUGAGGCACGAAAGCGUGGGGAGCAAAUAGGAUUAGAUACCCGGGUAGUC
This 464-nucleotide ribosomal RNA is filed under the name uncultured bacterium. RNAcentral describes it as "partial 16S ribosomal RNA". It matches the Rfam family "Bacterial small subunit ribosomal RNA", at positions 338 to 795 of the family's 1533-position model. The record is from RNAcentral.